Molecule: ribosomal RNA, 1767 nt
Filed under: Panagrolaimus sp.
Lineage: Eukaryota; Metazoa; Nematoda; Chromadorea; Rhabditida; Panagrolaimidae
Description: SSU rRNA
Rfam family: Eukaryotic small subunit ribosomal RNA
Source: RNAcentral
GGAAUUUACGUAUAUGUUUAAACAUUAAACCGCGCAUAGCUCAUUACAACAGCUGUACUAUACACGUUAAUCAGGCCCGCGCUAUUCUAAAUGGAUAACUGCGGAAAAUCUGGAGCUAAUACAUGCAAUUAAUGCGUCAUAGUGUAUGCUAUGCGUAGUGCAAUCAUUAGUAAUAAUGACCAAUAUAUAUAUAUUUUAUAUAUAUAUUUCUCAUUGUUGAACUCUGGAUAAUUUCCAACCUUUUACAAUGUAAAUUGGAAGGAAAAACGUGUAUGGAUCUGCCCUAUCAACUUGAUGUAAAGAUAUUAUCUUUACAUGGUGAUAACGGGUAACGGAGAAUUAGGGUUCGUCUCCGGAGAGAAUGCCUGAGAAACAGCUUUCACAUCCAAGGACGGCAGCAGGCGCGAAAAUUACCCACUCUUAGUACGAGGAGGUAGUGACUUGAAAUGACGAGAUACAUGUGGUAAAACAUGUGUAUCAUUGGAAUGGUUGAAACUUACACCAUUUCAAGAAUUCAAGGAGAGGGCAAGUCUGGUGCCAGCAGCCGCGGUAAUUCCAGCUCUCCUACUGAAUUAAACCUCUGUUGCGGUUAAAAAGUUCGUAGUUGCAAGUUAUACGAGGAUAUACGGGAGAAUACAUGUGUAUUUGAUUAAUUUCUUGCAUAUGUAUUUUUCCGAUCCCUGUCCUAUCGUAUUGGGUGAAUAUAUAUAUGUGUAACAGCAUAUAUGUGUUUUCCCGGUUACUUUGAGUAAAUCAAAGUGAUCAAAACAUGCGUUUACGCAUGAAUGGUUGUCCAAGGGAUAACAUAACAGUUGUGGUGCAAACUGUUUGUUGGUUGUAAUUGACCAUGACAUGGUUAAUAGGGGUAAUUCGGGGGCAGAGGUAUAUCCGGGCGAGGGGUGAAAUCCGUUGACCCUGGAUAGACCAUCUAAAGCGAAAGCAUCUGCCAAGGAUACUUUCUUUAACUAAGAACGAAAGUUGGAGGAUCGAAGACGAUUAGAUACCGUCCUAGUUCCAACUGUAAACGAUGCCAUCUGUCGAUUCUAUAUUUGUAUAUGUAAUAUGCAAUAUAGAGGAGAUGACCGGAAACGUAAAGUUUUUCGGUUCCGGGGGAAGUAUGGUUGCAAAACUGAAACUUAAAGGGAUUGACGGAAAGUCACCACCAGAAAUGGAGCUUGCGGCUUAAUUUGACUCAACACGGGAAAACUUACUCAGUCUAGACACUAAGAGGAUUGUCGUAGUAAUACUACUACAAGAUAUGGUGCAAAGUGGUGCAUGGCCGUUCUUAGUUCGUGGAGCAAUCUGUCUGGUUAAUUCCGAUAACGAACGAGAUCUGUUAUUUGUGUUGAUAAAAUAUAUAUUAUAUAUAUUUUAUCUUCACAAUGGAUACGCAAGAAUAAACUUGCAUGAAAGCAAGUAAUAACAGGUCUGUAAUGCCCUUAGUUGUCUGAGGCUGCACGCGUGCUACAAUGGAAAUUGCAGUACGUGUGUAAUACAUGGAAACAUGUAUUUAAACGUGUCAAAUUAUUCCGCAUUCGGGAUCAUGGAUUGUAAUUAUCCAUGUGAACGAGGAACUUCAAGUAAGUGUAUGUCACUACCAUACGCUGAUUACGUCCCUGUCUUUUGUACACACCGCCCGUCGCUGCCUAGAACUGUAUUAAUAUAAGAAAACAUUGGAGGUGUAUAUAGUUUCAAAUUUAUUUGUUAUUAUAUAUGCUGAAGAUGUUUGAUUAUAUUGGUAUAACCAGCAAAAGUCGUGCAGUUACU